AGAAACUUCAGUGCAUUGAAGUAAACGCGUUCAAUAAAACCCUAUUUCCCAAUCAUUUUGGUCCUCCUUCCUCCCUCUAAUCGUCGUCUACGCGUCCGCCUUCUCCUUCGUUUGCCAUCUCCGGUUUGUAUUGCACACCAGAUGUCUGUUAGCAUCAACCAGAAGCAUCACUAUUUUGUUUGGGCUGCGUUGAAUCGCACAAGACAUUGGUGCUCCGGGAAGAUAUUGUUUAGGCAUUGGACUUGACUCUGGUGUAUACUAGUCUAUGACUUUCUUUUGUUAGAAUUUGCUUCACUGAGACCUACUAGUGCUGUGUUCUUUUCAUUUUUUUUGUCAGUGCGGUUUUUUACUAUUUCCAAUGGCGAAGCUUCCACCAGGAUUUCGCUUUCACCCUACUGAUGUUGAGCUGAUAAUGUACUAUCUAAAGCGGAAGAUCAUGGGGAAAAAGAUCCUUUUUGAAGUCAUAUCAGAACUCAACAUUUAUAAGUUCUCCCAUCGGAUCUUCCAGACAAAUGUUGCUACAAAAGUAAAGAUCUUGAAUGGUAUUUCUUUUGCCCAAGUGAGAGAAAGUAUGCAAGUGGAUUCAGGAUGAAUCGCACUAUUGAAAUUGGAUUCUGGAAAAUUACUGGCAGGGAUAGACGUGUUCUUUAUGAUGAAAAGUUUGUUGGAUCUGUUAAGACUUUGGUUUUUCACCAAGGUAAAGCACCACGAGUGCAGAGAACUGAUUGGGCUAUUCACGAGUAUAGAUUUGAAGAUAAAAAUAUGGAAGAUGCAGGAUUUUCGCUGGUGUAGGCACAGGUGGACGGUAGAGCUACAGGUUCGCUGUUGCAGCUAUCCUAACGUCAGCAUUCAUUCGGAGUUUGGUAGGUCCUCACGCUUUCGAGGAUGCUACUGUUUUACAUUCUAGCGUAGUUUUAUAGUUGAGCUAGUGGAGCAUGUUCCACUAGCGUUUCUUUCCUGUUUUGGUUCAGACUUUGUAU
Molecule: long non-coding RNA, 980 nt
Organism: Solanum pennellii
Lineage: Eukaryota; Viridiplantae; Streptophyta; Magnoliopsida; Solanales; Solanaceae
Exons: 4
Source: RefSeq, a predicted model, not a curated record